RNAcentral lists this long non-coding RNA (2282 nucleotides) under Homo sapiens (human). RNAcentral describes it as "HSALNT0342469". The record is from RNAcentral. Lineage: Eukaryota; Metazoa; Chordata; Mammalia; Primates; Hominidae.
AGCUGGCAGUGGCAAUCCUCUCCGGUCCCCUUCCGGGCUGUGGGAGCUUUGUUCUUUUGCUCUUUGCAAUAAAUCUUGCUGCUGCUCGCUCUUUGGGUCCACAUUGCCUUUGUGAGCUGUAACACUCACGGCGAAGGUCUGCAGCUUCACUCCUAAAGCCAGAGAGACCACAAACCCACCGGGAGGAACGAACAACUCCAGACGCGCGGCCUUAAGAGCUGUAACACUCACCGCGAAAGUCUGCAGCUUCACUCCUAAAGCCAGCGAGACCACGAACCCACCAGGAGGAACGAACAAUUCCAGAUGCGCCGCCUUAGGAGCUGUAACACUCACCGCGAAGAUCUGCAGCUUCACUCCUGAGCCGGCGAGACCACGAACCCCACCAGAAGGAAGAAACUCCGGACACGCCGCCUUUAAGAACUAUAACACUCACGGCGAGGGUCCACGGCUUCAUUCUUGAAGUCAGUGAAACCAAGAACCCACCAAUUCCGGACACAGCAGGAUCCCACCCACAGAACCGCCAGGUGCACAGCUGCAUAUCCUCAGGGGAAAACUCCCCUCCCCUGCCACCUUACUGAUAGGCUUCACUUCCCAGAGAACUUUCCCAAUCCUGUGCAAUGCCUGAGUGGUACAUUGUAUUCUAUGAGAAUGGCGCCCCCGCCUCCAGAGUUGUGCAACAAGACUUCCAUGAAUCAAAGCCCAUCGCUGGCUGCCUCCUCUAGCCCUGCAUAGCCCAGGUACAUCUGAAAGGAGUGAGAAGUGUUUUGAGGGCUCUCCCUGUCUCUUCCUGCACCUCUCUCUUGUGAUCCCAGAAGCUACAACCUCAGCCCAGAUUAGCAGGCUGAGGGGUCAGGAGGCUGUCACUGGAGCUGUUGAGCUCAUGAACACGCCGAAGUUGCUGCGCUCCAGAAAUGUGGAAGUUGGAAUGAAGAGCCACCACUGCUGCCACCAACAUGAAGCUUGACCAAGCAAGCCAAGAAAAGAUGGCCAAGAGCCUCUGCCUUCCUUCUGCCUUCUGCAACGCAAUGAGAAGGCUACUUGGACCUAAAGGAAUGAAUUAGGAAGCGGUCUACUACCAAAGUACAAUGAAGGGCUCAAGGGCAGUGACUGCCCCACUCCACCACAGAGUGGGAGAGGGCUGGACCCCAGUGCCACUUUCGGCCACCCCUGGGCCACACGGCCACCCCUAUCCCUGGGACAGGGACUGCAGGGUCACACCCUCAAACAACCACGCCUCAGCCAUACUCGCGCCACACUUUCCAAGCCUGUCCCAGACCAGGGACAAGCCCCUAGUAGGGUUGGGGGAGGAGACUAGAACUAGAGAGGUGGGACACCAAGCAUGGGCACCCCUGCAACCUCGGCCACCCCCAGCAUGGCACCAUGCCCCUGAGCACCGCCAGCUUGGAAAGGCAUCGGAUGGAGACGGGCGCUUUUCGACGAGAUACCCGCCACUUGCUCUGGGAUCCCGGAGAGGGUGGGCAAGCGUGGACCAGGGAAGGAGGCCCCCAGGGGUGUUGGGAGGGAGUUUGAGAGGGAGGAAGUAAGAGAGACGGAUGGCAACGGAGACGCCAGGCAUGCGCGAGGGGGUGGACAAACCCUGUGUCCAGGGCUGACUUUGAAUAGAUGGCAGGGAGGGAGCUGCUCUGCUAUGUAUGAAACCACGACCUAAAAACUAAUUUCUGUAAGAUACACCAUAAAGGUAAAAAUAAUGCAAGUGUUCAGCUGACAGUAAGUAUAAAUGGUACUCAUUUUCAUUCUUAGCUGGUUCUGACCUUUAGCGAUCCAUAGAAAGUACAUUCAUGAAAAUAACCAGUUUUAAGCACACAAACAAUAAAAGCAUAUACACUUGAUAUAAAAUGGCCGUAAGUCAAGUAUUUUCAAAAUGUUUGAUUUCAGAACCUUUGAUGGUUCAUUAAGAUAGCAUAAAAACAACCUUCAGAAGAAAGGAAUAAGCUGAUAUACCCAGCAUCAUAUCUGAUGACACCUUACAACUCAAACAGGGCUUAGACAUUUUUAUCUUUUUUAAAAAUGCACUCUUAUAGCCUGGUGUGGUGGCUUAUGCCUGUAAUCCCAAUACUUUGGGAGGUCAAGGCAGGAAAACUGCUUCAGGCCAGCCUGGGCAACACAGCAAGACCCCACCUCUACAAAAAUUCUUUUAAAAAUUAGCCAGGCUUGGUGGCACAUGCCUUUCCUAGCUACUGGAGACGAUGACGGUGGAGGAUGGCUUGAACCCAGGAGCUCUAUGUUACAAUGAGCUAUGACUGCCCUGCCACUGAACUCUA